RNAcentral lists this ribosomal RNA (493 nucleotides) under uncultured bacterium. RNAcentral's name for it is "bacterial SSU rRNA". It matches the Rfam family "Bacterial small subunit ribosomal RNA", at positions 28 to 507 of the family's 1533-position model. The record is from RNAcentral.
GAUGAACGCUGGCGGCGUGCCUAACACAUGCAAGUCGAGCGUGAAGGUUCGGAUUGAGGCUUCGGCCAAGAGAAGAACUGGAAAGCGGCGGACGGGUGAGUAACGCGUGGGCAACCUGCCCCAUACAGCCGGAUAGCCACUGGAAACGGUGAUUAAUACGGCAUAAGACCACAGUACCCCAUGGUACAGCGGCCAAAGAUUUAUCGGUAUGGGAUGGGCCCGCGUCUGAUUAGCUAGUUGGUGGGGUAACGGCCUACCAAGGCAGCGAUCAGUAGCCGACCUGAGAGGAUGAUCAGCCACACUGGCACUGCGACACGGGCCAGACUCCUACGGGAGGCAGCAGUAAGGAAUAUUGCGCAAUGGGCGAAAGCCUGACGCAGCGACGCCGCGUGGGGGAUGAAGGUCUUCGGAUUGUAAACCCCUUUCGGGAGGGAAGAUGGAGCGAGCAAUCGUUCGGACGGUACCUCCAGAAGCAGCCACGGCCAACUUCGUG